Molecule: long non-coding RNA, 1164 nt
Organism: Benincasa hispida (wax gourd)
Lineage: Eukaryota; Viridiplantae; Streptophyta; Magnoliopsida; Cucurbitales; Cucurbitaceae
Source: RefSeq, a predicted model, not a curated record
UCAAAGAUUAAAGACAAAAAAAAAAAGAAAAAAAAAAAAAAGAAAAAAAAGAGAGAUUCCGCGCCUAGAUUUUUGAAAGAAGAAACCCUCGUCUGCCCUUUAAUUGCCGCUCAAGUAAAAUGGGUUUGUCUUUUCUCAUUCCCCUCCCCUGGUUUCUUCCUUCAUUCUUUCUUUCAUUCUGAAUCAACUCUACCUUAGGAAUGAUUUUUUUUUCCUCUUUCAAGUUAUGAGACUCGCCAAGUGUAUUUUAUUUUCUCAUCUUCCUCCAUUAUUUGUUUUGUUCGAUCUGAAUCAACAAUAAUCAGCGGCACCUUCGCCUUCAUCCUCUUCAACAAACUCCACUUCCACUCUCUUCCUCGCUUUUGUAACUCACCUUUUUCAAACAUUCUACCUAAUUCAUUAAAAUCAAAGUUACAAAGUACCAGUUUCUGUUUUCUUUCCUUCGAUUGGAUUCUUUGUGGUUUCGCCAAGAUCAGAUCGGGAUAGUGCCUUCGCAUUGGGGAAUCACUGCUGAUGGAUACGUGUUCGCCAAUGAUGUUGGUCUUCUCAACGGUGCUUGUGGAGAAUCCCUUGCUUCGUUCCUCAAGGAUGUUUCUUCUCUACUGUGGUGCGAGAUUUGGAUGUUAUGAGAAUCCGAAGAACAACAUUUCAUUCUUUCACCUUCAUCUAACUAUCACCAUUUUGCAAAUCAGUCAACGGAAAAUAAAGGAAUAACGGAGUUGGAGCCAGAAAGAAUGAUUACUGCUGAACCUGCUCUUGAAGAAGAGAUAUGGGGAGCAAAAUUCAAGGAAUUAUGGCUUCUUUACUUUCUACCGGAGCACUGGAGUACAUUUUCUACUUGGCAACAAAGAUGCAAAGUUUCUCUCUUCGAGCUGCAACUCGGACACCAAGUUUAGUCCUAUUAGUUGACUCAAUUCGACUUAUAGUUUGGCUUUGACUUGAUCUUUCUUGAAAAACUCAAGCUCUUUAUAUAGGUGGAUGAAAUGAUAACUUUACAUGUGAAAAUAUCAAAGAUGGAAGCUCAAUUCCAUGAGGUUAUAAUCCUCAACACUUGACGAGUUUUGUUGAACGUUGUAUAGUUGCAAAUUACAUUUGAUGUAUUUCUUGUAUUAUUGGAUAAUUUCUUUAGUUUAUAAUGUAAAUUGAUUACUAAAAUUUCAGUAA